Molecule: small nuclear RNA, 107 nt
Organism: Ochotona princeps (American pika)
Lineage: Eukaryota; Metazoa; Chordata; Mammalia; Lagomorpha; Ochotonidae
Source: RefSeq, a predicted model, not a curated record
GUGCUUGCUUCAACAGCACAGAUACUAAAAUUGGAACAAUACAGAGAAGACUAGCAUGAGCCCCGUGCAAGGAUGACAGUUCAUGAAGGAUUUGGAUGCAAAUUCAU